AGAGUUUGAUCCUGGCUCAGGAUUAACGCUGGCGGCGUGCCUAAUGCAUGCAAGUCGAACGUGGUCCCUUCGGGGGCAAACGUGGCGGACGGGUGAGGAACACGUGGGGAACCUGCCCAUUGGUGGGGGGUAGCCCGCGGAAACGCGGGGUAAUUCCGCAUACGCUCGCCUGGGGGUAGCCCGGGUGAGGAAAGGGUCUUUCGGGACUCGCCGAUGGAGGGGCCUGCGUCCGAUUAGCUAGUUGGUGGGGUAAUGGCCUACCAAGGCGGUGAUCGGUAGCUGGUCUGAGAGGACGGCCAGCCACAGGGGGACUGAGACACGGCCCCCACUCCUACGGGAGGCAGCAGCAAGGAGUUUUCCGCAAUGGGCGCAAGCCUGACGGAGCAACGCCGCGUGGGGGAUGACACCUUUCGGGGCGUAAACCCCUUUUCUUGGGGACGAAGCAGUGACGGUACCCGAGGAAGAAGGCCCCGGCUAACUACGUGCCAGCAGCCGCGGUA
RNAcentral lists this ribosomal RNA (500 nucleotides) under uncultured bacterium. RNAcentral's name for it is "bacterial SSU rRNA". It matches the Rfam family "Bacterial small subunit ribosomal RNA", at positions 8 to 522 of the family's 1533-position model. The record is from RNAcentral.